This 472-nucleotide ribosomal RNA is filed under the name uncultured bacterium. RNAcentral describes it as "bacterial SSU rRNA". It matches the Rfam family "Bacterial small subunit ribosomal RNA", at positions 355 to 825 of the family's 1533-position model. The record is from RNAcentral.
UGGGGAAUUUUGGACAAUGGGCGAAAGCCUGAUCCAGCCAUGCCGCGUGCAGGAUGAAGGCCUUCGGGUUGUAAACUGCUUUUGUACGGAACGAAAAGACUCCUUCUAAUAAAGGGGGUCCAUGACGGUACCGUAAGAAUAAGCACCGGCUAACUACGUGCCAGCAGCCGCGGUAAUACGUAGGGUGCAAGCAUUAAUCGGAAUUACUGGGCGUAAAGCGUGCGCAGGCGGUUAUAUAAGACAGAUGUGAAAUCCCCGGGCUCAACCUGGGAACUGCAUUUGUGACUGUAUAGCUAGAGUACGGUAGAGGGGGAUGGAAUUCCGCGUGUAGCAGUGAAAUGCGUAGAUAUGCGGAGGAACACCGAUGGCGAAGGCAAUCCCCUGGACCUGUACUGACGCUCAUGCACGAAAGCGUGGGGAGCAAACAGGAUUAGAUACCCAAGUAUUCCCUGAGCGGGCUGGCAAGGCGCAU